RNAcentral lists this microRNA precursor (99 nucleotides) under Picea abies (Norway spruce). RNAcentral's name for it is "miR11416 stem-loop (pab-MIR11416)". The record is from miRBase by way of RNAcentral. Lineage: Eukaryota; Viridiplantae; Streptophyta; Pinopsida; Pinales; Pinaceae.
GGGACACGUGCAAGGAAAGUGUCGAACACGGAUUUGGGAUGUGUCCUCUGCACAUGACAUGUCCCAAAUCUGUGUCCGACACGUAUCCUCAUGAAUCCC